GUGAACCUGUUUGAGAUAGGUUUCAUGUUUCUUUUUGCUUUAGCUCAGAUUCUAAGAUAGUAGAAUUAGUCUGAAGUCAUUAACCAGUGGAGCUAGAAGGUAAACCCUGGUUUUUAAGUUCUGUGUUCUUUUUUAAAAGUAAAGACCAACUUUUGCCUCAUUAUCCUCUGCUGUCUCCCACCCUUAGAGGAGGAAAUGUUUGCAUAUAUUUAUACUAGAGGUAGUUACUUUG
This 232-nucleotide long non-coding RNA is filed under the name Bos taurus (domestic cattle). Its description in RNAcentral is "long non-coding RNA NONBTAT011131". Lineage: Eukaryota; Metazoa; Chordata; Mammalia; Artiodactyla; Bovidae. The record is from RNAcentral.